AUGGACCGUCGAUGCGGCUCCUCCUCUCGCGCUCCUAGCCCUCCGCCAGGAGAUUGGAGGAGAUGUUCAGUCCCGCACAACGAGCUGGUGACGCUCCAAGCGGAGGGAUACCUUCCUCCGUCCUUUAUGGUCCCGGUUCGAGCUGGGCUGGCCACCUACAAAGGUGGAAAGAAGGCGGAGAAAACCCCUAGUCCCUCUAAAGGAGAGCGGGUGUGCUUCGUCCCUUAUUUAAUAAGGGGGCUCAGAUUUCCCAUACAUUCGUUUCUCCGAGGGCUUCUGGAGUUCUACGGACUCCAGCUUCAUCACCUCACGCCUGCCUCUAUCCUGCACAUCGCGGGUUUCGUAGCUCUUUGCGAGCUGUUCUUGGGCAUCGAGCCCCAUUUUGCGCUGUUGAAGAGACUAUUUUGCCUCGUACCCCGUUCUCUCGAGGGGUCAAUAUAUCAAGUGGGCGGAGCCGAAAUAUGGCGCAUCGCCGGGACCGGAUAUCUAUCCGGAACCCCAAAGAAGGCGUCCGAAGACUGGCCCUCGGAAUGGUUUUAUGUGGAAGAUGCUCCACCGCCGGACCCAGUUCGGAUCGGCCUCCCGAAGUUCAGCAAGGCUCCUCUGAAGAAACGCCUAAGUUGGCGCCCGCGGAGCCCUCAAUAG
This 645-nucleotide ribosomal RNA is filed under the name Triticum aestivum (bread wheat). RNAcentral's name for it is "partial small subunit ribosomal RNA". The record is from RNAcentral. Lineage: Eukaryota; Viridiplantae; Streptophyta; Magnoliopsida; Poales; Poaceae.